Molecule: long non-coding RNA, 448 nt
Organism: Ctenopharyngodon idella (grass carp)
Lineage: Eukaryota; Metazoa; Chordata; Actinopteri; Cypriniformes; Xenocyprididae
Exons: 3
Source: RefSeq, a predicted model, not a curated record
GGAUCAGAUCUAGAUCAAUGCAGACAUGGCUACUGGUUUCUCAGGUCUGCGUGAUGAAUGUGGACACUUGAAAAAUCAUCAAAGACACAGUGAUCUGUGAGUUUAGAUUCGGCCACCAGCAGCCCAUAAAUCACAGCUUCAAAGGAGACGAUCCGUCCUCGGAUGAGAGCUUACACAACCUCCAGCUGCUCUUGGAGUUUCUUUUAAAAUCAUUGUCUGACUGCAUAUGAGGACCUUCUAUAAAUACCGAUGCAAUGCGGUCAACAGAAAGUUGGACAAAAAGUGUUCAUCUGUGAUGGGAUGUUCCAUCUCGUCAGGACACUGCCGGCAGCUGCGGGACUGUCUGUUUCCAUCCAUCAGACUCAAUAUUGUACACACAGCCUCUUUCAAGAUGCACCGCAUCCCAUCAGUAAAACCAAGAGAAGAUGAACAAUACUGGGUCGGUUAC